AUUGAACGCUGGCGGCAGGCCUAACACAUGCAAGUCGGGCGGUAACAGGAAUCAGCUUGCUGAUUCGCUGACGAGCGGCGGACGGGUGAGUAAUGUCCGGGAAACUGCCUGAUGGAGGGGGAGAACUACUGGAAACGGUAGCUAAUACCGCAUAACGUCUACGGACCAAAGUGGGGGACCUUCUGGCCUCCUGCCAUCCGAUGUUCCCAGAUGGGAUUAGCUAGUAGGUGGGGUAACGGCUCACCUAGGCGACGAUCCCUAGCUGGUCUGAGAGGAUGACCAGCCACACUGGAACUGAGACACGGUCCAGACUCCUACGGGAGGCAGCAGUGGGGAAUAUUGCACAAUGGGCGCAAGCCUGAUGCAGCCAUGCCGCGUGUAUGAAGAAGGCCUUCGGGUUGUAAAGUACUUUCAGCGGGGAGGAAGGUGUUGUGGUUAAUAACCGCAGCAAUUGACGUUACCCGCAGAAGAAGCACCGGCUAACUCCGUGCCAGCAGCCGCGGUAA
RNAcentral lists this ribosomal RNA (506 nucleotides) under uncultured bacterium. Its description in RNAcentral is "partial 16S ribosomal RNA". It matches the Rfam family "Bacterial small subunit ribosomal RNA", at positions 30 to 523 of the family's 1533-position model. The record is from RNAcentral.